AGAGUUUGAUCAUGGCUCAGAACGAACGCUGGCGGCAGGCCUAACACAUGCAAGUCGAGCGAGACCUUCGGGUCUAGCGGCGGACGGGUGAGUAACGCGUGGGAACGUGCCCUUUGGUUCGGAAUAGCCCCGGGAAACUGGGAGUAAUACCGGAUAAGCCCUACGGGGGAAAGAUUUAUCGCCAAAGGAUCGGCCCGCGUUGGAUUAGGUAGUUGGUGGGGUAAUGGCCUACCAAGCCGACGAUCCAUAGCUGGUUUGAGAGGAUGAUCAGCCACACUGGGACUGAGACACGGCCCAGACUCCUACGGGAGGCAGCAGUGGGGAAUCUUAGACAAUGGGGGAAACCCUGAUCUAGCCAUGCCGCGUGAGCGAUGAAGGCCUUAGGGUUGUAAAGCUCUUUCAGUGGGGAAGAUAAUGACUGUACCCACAGAAGAAGCCCCGGCUAACUCCGUGCCAGCAGCCGCGGUAAUACGGAGGGGGCUAGCGUUGUUCGGAAUUACUGGGCGUAAAGCGCACGUAGGCGGAUCAGAAAGUCAGAGGUGAAAUCCCAGGGCUCAACCUUGGAACUGCCUUUGAAACUCCUGAUCUUGAGGUCGAGAGAGGUGAGUGGAAUUCCGAGUGUAGAGGUGAAAUUCGUAGAUAUUCGGAGGAACACCAGUGGCGAAGGCGGCUCACUGGCUCGAUACUGACGCUGAGGUGC
Molecule: ribosomal RNA, 700 nt
Filed under: uncultured bacterium
Lineage: Bacteria
Description: bacterial SSU rRNA
Rfam family: Bacterial small subunit ribosomal RNA
Source: RNAcentral